CCUAAUCUCAGCUCCUCAAGCCGUCCAAUCUCCUGUGUUGUUGACACCACUUAAAUUGUGCCAUCCAAAUGCUAAGUAGUAAUAUGAUUGUUUUCAACAUCAGCUGUGGUUAGUUAUUGUUCCCAUAAUUUCAAUUAGAGACUGAUCAAUGGUCCCAAUUUUGCUUUUAUUUCUUAGGGCUAAAAUGAGGCUUUUCUUUGUCGCCUAUUGAUAUUGUUCACACUGAACUGUUGCUCUAACCUCUGUUUGUUGUUAAUUAGGUACUGGAGCAGCUGAGCGGCCAGUCACCGCAAGGUACACUAUGAGGUCGUUUGGGAUCCGGCGCAAUGAGAAGAUCACAUGCUAUGUGACGGCUUUAAACUGUACCAUGUCUCUUCUAUUUUCAGCUAGGCAGAGCAUGUUCUAUUUACAGCAGGCCAGCAGACACCAGACAGUAAGGUGAUGUAUGAGUCAAUUAUCAGGAUGGAAAUGUUUUUUGGCAGCUUUCUCAGUGAAUCAGUAUCACUGCAGAACCUUUUUGGACACCCAGAUGUCGAGAGAUGCCCAUUCCUGAGGAAUAUCAAUGGAGCUACAACCUUUUCCCUCUCUUAAGGAGGCAAGGGUCCAAUUUUUGAGGAAGGGUCAGGCUUUGAGUCAGCAUUCAAGCUUUUCCAUGGCCGAGAUGGAAUAGUUCCCCUUUCAGAAAGAUCAUAUGUAUCUGAUGAAAACCAUAAUGAGAGCAUUGACGUCAAGUUAUAUACUUAGUUAGGCUCAAUUUAGAGUACACUUAUGUAGAGUACACUUAUUUAUAUUGAACCGUCGGAGUUUCUACAUAUGUAUCAAGUUAUAUACUUAGUUAGGCUCAAUGUUAGCAUAAACAGUUGAUGAGCAACUUUAAAUUUAGAGUACACUUAUGUAUGAGUUAUUUGACAAUGCUUAUUUAUGAGACAUUGAAUGU
Molecule: long non-coding RNA, 937 nt
Organism: Zea mays
Lineage: Eukaryota; Viridiplantae; Streptophyta; Magnoliopsida; Poales; Poaceae
Exons: 3
Source: RefSeq, a predicted model, not a curated record